UUUCCUCCAUUGCUCAGUCCAUAUCGUUUACUUGAACAUGUAUGAUGGCUCAUAUCGAAGCUGAUACAUUUAUACAUGUCUGGUUAAAUUUUCGGGGUGGCAAGUGAGAUUACUUUUUUCGCAAAUUGCUGGACCCCGGAAGAUGGUGAAAAAUGUCACUCUCCACAUGAAAUAAUCCCAAAAUUUUGAUCAUAAAACUCUAUAAAAAAAUUGUCCUUCCUAAUAAUUUAUUUCAGGUCAAAUCUACAUAUUUCUUUUCUCAUCACAUCAGCUCUAUAAAACAGUUCUUAUUGUUCAUUAAUGUCCAUUUUUAAAAUCACAGCAUCCACAAUUGUAUGGCGGACUAAUAUUGUUUUUUAAUUACGUCAUCUGAGUUCCUCAUCUCAAGGUCU
This 392-nucleotide long non-coding RNA is filed under the name Mytilus galloprovincialis (Mediterranean mussel). Lineage: Eukaryota; Metazoa; Mollusca; Bivalvia; Mytilida; Mytilidae. The record is from RNAcentral.